UACGUAGGGUGCAAGCGUUGUCCGGAAUUAUUGGGCGUAAAGAGCUUGUAGGCGGUUUGUCGCGUCUGCUGUGAAAUUUCGGGGCUCAACCCCGAACUUGCAGUGGGGUACGGGCAGACUAGAGUGUGGUAGGGGAGACUGGAAUUCCUGGUGUAGCGGUGAAAUGCGCAGAUAUCAGGAGGAACACCGAUGGCGAAGGCAGGUCUCUGGGCCAUAACUGACGCUGAGAAGCGAAAGCAUGGGGAGCGAACAGG
This 254-nucleotide ribosomal RNA is filed under the name uncultured bacterium. Its description in RNAcentral is "partial 16S ribosomal RNA". It matches the Rfam family "Bacterial small subunit ribosomal RNA", at positions 524 to 776 of the family's 1533-position model. The record is from RNAcentral.